Molecule: long non-coding RNA, 209 nt
Filed under: Elaeis guineensis (African oil palm)
Lineage: Eukaryota; Viridiplantae; Streptophyta; Magnoliopsida; Arecales; Arecaceae
Description: long non-coding RNA (EGUI_LNC054849)
Source: RNAcentral
CGUAGGAGUCCGGGCAAAGUCUUCCUGCAAUCAAGGUUAAAGGCGAAGUCUGGCUCCCGUAGGAGUCCGGACGAGGCUUACCAGUAGUUGACGUUGAGGACGGAGCCCGGCUCCCGUAGGAGUCCGGGCGGAGUCCACUUGCUGCUGAAGUUAUCGGCGGAGUCCGGCUCCCGUAGGAGUCCGGACGCAGUCUGUCCUACAGUCGUUGG